RNAcentral lists this ribosomal RNA (301 nucleotides) under uncultured bacterium. RNAcentral's name for it is "partial 16S ribosomal RNA". It matches the Rfam family "Bacterial small subunit ribosomal RNA", at positions 509 to 807 of the family's 1533-position model. The record is from RNAcentral.
CAGUCGCCACGGUAAUACGAAAGGUCCAAGCGUUACUCGGAAUUACUGGGCGUAAAGCGCGCGUAGGCGGUCUUGUAUGUCGAUUGUGAAAGCCCCGGGCUCAACCUGGGAACUGCAGUCGAAACUGCAAGACUUGAAUGUUGGAGAGGUUGGGGGAAUACCUAGUGGAGAAGUGAAAUUCGUAGAGAUUAGGUGGAACACCAGAGGCGAAGGCGCCUGACUGGCCAAACAUUGACGCUAAGGCGCGAAAGCGUGGGUAGCAAACAGGAUUAGAUACCCCAGUAGUCCCUGUCUCUUAUAC